Meleagris gallopavo (turkey) is the source of this 1517-nucleotide non-coding RNA. The record is from RefSeq and is a predicted model, not a curated record. NCBI's taxonomy places the organism in Eukaryota, Metazoa, Chordata, Aves, Galliformes, Phasianidae.
CAAAGGGUCUCUGGUUGGAGAUUCCUCCCUUGUGAGGUUUCCCUUGCAAGCCUAGAGCUUCAGAGAUGGGUGGAACAACAUCUGCAAUAGCAAUCUCUAUCCUGAAGUGCAGAGCUUUUAAUAGGAAUUUCAGAUUGAUCUCUAGAGGUUUUGAAAUGGAGGAAACGAAAGUGAGGAAGUGAAGAAAGCUUUGGAUUUGAAUCCUUUUCCAUCUGUCUUUGACACCAUAAUAUUUUUUGAGCAAAAUAACUUUUUCAACUCUUCUAUAAUGUCUCCUAAACAUAGACUUCUUCCAAAAUUCAAUGGUGGUUACUUCCAAAGUGACAAGAAAAUGUCUUUGGACAUAUAUUUAAAAGUAGCAGUUAAAAGUAAUGGAAAUAGUACAACAAUGCCUUAUGUUUGCUAUUGUCAACAUCAGUCACAGAGGAAAAAACAGUCGUCCAAGAGAGCGGUACCCAACACAUAGGUUUCAUGAUUGCUUUUGAAAUUAUGUCCAAGAUAACUUUUUUUUUCACUCUCUCAGGAAACUUACUCUCUCCCAGGUACCCUCAAAAAUAUCUGACUACAAGUGAAAAGAACCAAACAUCCACAUGAGAACUGUAAAGUAAGGAGUUAAAGAUACUUAUCUGUGGCCAGUUGGAGACCAUCCCGUAUUUUUUUAUGCCCAGACUCUGGGAUGGCUGCACAUAAGCCAGCUGGAUGUGGAAAAGUUGUAGUCCCAUUAUUAGUUCCUACUAGUACAGCCAAGCUACCGUACCUCCCUGCUAAACAAUUAGGGCUAGUAUAGUGACACACAUUGCUUGGCUGUACACUUCCAGACCAAAGCUGCUUUGCAUCCAGUUCUUAGCAGCAGAGUUUCAUUUUUUAAAAAAAUCAUCCUUAGUAUGCUACAUAUAUAUUGUUUGGAGAAGAAUUAUGGUGCAAUAUAGCUUCAAUGACUGAACCAAGUCAAGAAAUGUGUUAACACUACAUCUACUGCUUUUUAUUCAUGGUAUUCAAGUCCAUUCAACCUAUGAAUGACAAAAUCAAAAUAAAAUAAGAACAAAAUGGUAUCACCAUUUCGAAUUGCCACCAAAUUCCCUUGCGAAUUCUGAAUGCUUUAGUAAAGGAAACUGUCAAAAAGGAAAUAGGUCAGCCAUUCUGGAACUGUUUUGAAGGGAAAAGGUAUAAUACUGGGAUAAUAAGAGUUUUGUAAAGGCUAUGCCAGAUGCCUAAACUUCAGAACAGCAACAAUAUUCUUGGUGUUUUUUGGCUCACAGUUGGCACUUAUACUGUGUCAACUGACACUAACAGUUGAAAAGCAGUCAGAAAACACUUUUUCAUUUAAAAGAGGACUGAAAGUGAACAAAGGUUAAUUAGUUUUGUCAUGGUCUAAUGAAGUGGGCUGAGUUUUCUUAGCUGUAACUGAGUAAAUUAAAGCAGAAUCCAAAAUAAAGCUUCUGUGAGAGGUAAAUCAGCAAAAAGCAGUAAAUGCAAGUGUAAACAAAUUAAAAGUUGGAAUUUGUGAAUGCUGUUCA